UCCGGUCUGUGUGGAGAGCGACUUUGGUGCGUGAAGACGGCAAUGGCACCGAUUUGACAGGUUCAUUUUGAAGAAGAGAACAAGUUUAAAGACACAGACACACAGCAAGAAGGCGCAGGCAUGGCCACAGAGGGAACUUUGACGGAGGUUUCCACAACGGGAGUGUUCGCCCUUUCUUGCCAUAUCUUCCCCCCUCACACGGCCAGAGCAUCAGCACCUUGGCUUUAGACUGCUUACUGCUUAUACAGUGUCACAGUACAGUAACAGUCUACAGUCAUGGCUACUGAAGCCUGGCAAUGCAGCAAAACACCACACUGGCAACACGUGCGGAGGCCGUGCCGGAGUGAUGUCAACCCGAACGGAAAAAUAACAUCAUGGAAAAAGUGUUCAGUACGCUCUGUAUGUUAAAUAUUCCCUCUCCUGCUCCUCAGCUCAGUGAGGAAACCUGUGUGGGCUUGCAUUGGGGGGAGUCCUACACCAUGUAAGUACGUAAUAUCAGCGAGCGAACCAAUGAGACCUGCGGUUUCUAGUUACCAUAGCAACUCCGGCUCUCCGUCCACCCUGCUGUCUCCAUGGCGACCGUGGCUUUAGAUUGUUACUCUAGCAACAGCAGCAUGGUAACAGUCUACAGCCAUGGUCGUUAGGGGCAGGUGACAUCUGAAAUAUAAAAAGUUGUAUGUAUUAAUUGAGUUUGUUAGUAAUUUGAAAUGUUUGUGUUGAAAUGUUCUCAAUUUAGAAUGUCCGUUGCUCAUCUACAGACAUUACGGUCUGGAGGAGGAGAGUUGACAGAUUGACUUGUUUAUUGCUGCACCUUUCCCUUGAUAAUACAUCAAAACUGCAUUUA
Molecule: non-coding RNA, 844 nt
Organism: Gasterosteus aculeatus aculeatus (three-spined stickleback)
Lineage: Eukaryota; Metazoa; Chordata; Actinopteri; Perciformes; Gasterosteidae
Source: RefSeq, a predicted model, not a curated record